This 301-nucleotide ribosomal RNA is filed under the name uncultured bacterium. RNAcentral describes it as "partial 16S ribosomal RNA". It matches the Rfam family "Bacterial small subunit ribosomal RNA", at positions 509 to 809 of the family's 1533-position model. The record is from RNAcentral.
CAGCAGCCACGGGAACACAGAGGGUGCAAGCGUUAAUCGGAAUUACUGGGCGUAAAGCGCGCGUAGGUGGUUUGUUAAGUUGGAUGUGAAAGCCCCGGGCUCAACCUGGGAACUGCAUCCAAAACUGGCAAGCUAGAGUACGGUAGAGGGUGGUGGAAUUUCCUGUGUAGCGGUGAAAUGCGUAGAUAUAGGAAGGAACACCAGUGGCGAAGGCGACCACCUGGACUGAUACUGACACUGAGGUGCGAAAGCGUGGGGAGCAAACAGGAUUAGAUACCCGAGUAGUCCCUGUCUCUUAUAA